Molecule: non-coding RNA, 1491 nt
Organism: Prunus mume (Japanese apricot)
Lineage: Eukaryota; Viridiplantae; Streptophyta; Magnoliopsida; Rosales; Rosaceae
Source: RefSeq, a predicted model, not a curated record
CUUAUCAGUUUCUUCUGGCACGUUCUAUUGAAAUGGGAAUCGGAUGAAAGCAAAACUGAAACCGUCCAAAACCCACCAUGGCCCUCAAACUUGGAAACGCAUUUCCUUCCCUCCCAUGUUUCGCGGAGCAAGAAUCCUCAUCUACUCACUGCAUAAAAAGAUUGAAGGAAAAAGAACUGGAGCAAUCAAUAUUGGAACCCCCAGUCUGCUCAUCAAUCUGGUAGUUCAUGUCUUUGUGUGGCUGAUUUUCUCUUUGCCUGUUCACCGGGAAGAUCACAGCGCGGAAACUCCAGAGAGGAUGCCCCAAUGACUGACCAGAUUGAUGAUGAUGGCUAUGAGGAUGAUGAUGACCAAGAAGCCGAGUUUGAGAUGUUCAGGGAACACUCAGAGAGUGGGUUACAAGAGAUGAAGUGCAAAGAUUUAUAGCCAAGAAGUUCAAAGAAUUUCUGCUCACCUUUGUGAAUGACAUUGAAUAUGUGCGCCUCAUUAAUGAGAUGGUAUUAGGCAGAUCCAUUUGAAUCCCUUGAUUCGUAUUGGAGACGUUGUGACCCGACGCUCCGGGGUCUUUCCCCAAUUGCCACAAGUAAAGUAUGAUUGCAAUAAAUGUGGGGCAAUUUUGGGGCCAUUCCUUCAGAACUCUUAUUCAGAAGUUAAAGUUGGUUCUUGCCCUGAAUGCCAAUCAAAAGGACCGUUCAGUGUCAAUAUUGAGCAGUCAUUAGUUCAAGAACUCGAAGUUCAGAAUUGCUUCAAUGACUCCGGUUCCAUGCUUUCUAUUUAAUAAUCUUCAGUCUGCAGAGUAUCAACUCUUUAAAUGAUGGAAUCGCCUCUCACCUCUCUCUCUCUGACGCAUAAGGGUUCCAUAAGUAGCAGAGGGAACUAUAUUUAAGGGGAUUAUUUUUUAUACAAGAAUUAAAAGCAAAAUGAGGAUCAGAGUUGGAGGGAGUUCAAGAGUAACAUGAAAGCAUAACAAAAGGGAAGCAUCAUGGUGGUGACUCAACAUAAGCACCGAUCAUGACUUCUUCGAGCAGUGAACCGAAGUCGCUCUUCUUCGUGGACAAGUCCAAAGGUGCCUCAUUCAUACCUUUGUUUUUUUGUUUUUUGUUUCGAGUGACAUAAUUGCCUUUUUUCGCAGCCGAUAAUAACACAUCCAUAAUGACACACUACGAUAGACUUAUUCUGAAACAUAAGUCUAUUGUUUUGAUGGAUUGUUUUAGUAUUCUUAAUAUCUUGCUUCAUAUUAAGCUUUUUAGUUGUUUUGGUGUGUGUGUGUGUGUGUGUGUUUUUUUUUUUUUUUUUGGGUAAAUUCUGAUCCAAUUUGCUGCACGAGGCUUCCAAAGAAGAUACUAGCAAGAGAGCAUAAAAUUGCUGGAGGAGGAGGUUCAUGUACAAGCAGUAGCUAAAAGGAUUUCAUGAUCUUAAUUUAAUUGUCAUGAACUUUUUGUUUUUUCGUUUCCUUUUUUUUUUUUUGGUCUGAACCACGAGGUGGUCCUG